Molecule: ribosomal RNA, 253 nt
Filed under: uncultured bacterium
Lineage: Bacteria
Description: partial 16S ribosomal RNA
Rfam family: Bacterial small subunit ribosomal RNA
Source: RNAcentral
UACAGAGGGGGCGAGCGUUGUUCGGAAUUACUGGGCGUAAAGGGCGCGUAGGCGGCCUUCUAAGUCGAACGUGAAAUCCCCGGGCUCAACCCGGGAACUGCGUCCGAUACUGGGAGGCUUGAAUCCGGGAGAGGGAUGUGGAAUUCCAGGUGUAGCGGUGAAAUGCGUAGAUAUCUGGAGGAACACCGGUGGCGAAGGCGGCAUCCUGGACCGGUAUUGACGCUGAGGAGCGAAAGCCAGGGGAGCAAACGGG